Molecule: long non-coding RNA, 5880 nt
Filed under: Mytilus galloprovincialis (Mediterranean mussel)
Lineage: Eukaryota; Metazoa; Mollusca; Bivalvia; Mytilida; Mytilidae
Source: RNAcentral
GAAAACCCAUUAAAGGUUAGUGAAACAUUUUACCUCAAAAUAUACAAUAUAUAAUGGAAAUACAAAAUUUCAUUUCAGAAAACUUGUUUACCAGACGCCUUUCGGAAAACAUUUAGGAUACAUAUUUUUACGAUGCUUAACCAAAAAAAUGUCCAUAAACUACAUGUAUGUAUGAGUGGGCAUGUAGAUAUAGAUCGAGUCAGGAACAUACAAUGACCAAGAGUAUAUAGAGAAUAAAGAUAAUAGGCGACCAUAAAUUAAAGAAUAGAGAAUAAUGAGGUUCUAAAAUAUAAAGAAUAGAAUAUAUAUAUAUAUAUAUACCUAGGAAGUUUGUUGUCUGAGACAAGUGCCUGUGAAAAUAAAUGGGGAAAUUCAUCUAGAAUACUGAUUUUUUAAAAUACACGUAGAACUGAUGACGUCCCCACUAGCUAUAGACCCUUAUAUAUUCUAGUGAUUUAUGGUUUAAAUUAUUUUUGCAAUUUCAAGGACGAGCACUUAAGUACAGCUGACUUGUCUUAUGCAAUGUAAAACGUUGCAUAGAAAGGCCAUAACAGAAUAUAAACCGAUUAUUUUUCUAAAUUGACAAAUCUAAUACCUUCUCAUUAAGAAUGUCUGGACUAACCAUUAUCACGGCUUGAACAUCUCAGCAAGGCCUUAAAAUUUUCACAAUUUGGCGAUAAAUCAUCCAUUUUUAAUUAGACAUUGACAUAUAUCUAAUUGGUUGAAAUCUAUCUAAUUGAAGUUUAAAUAUAGACGUAGCUUCCAGUUCUAAAAUGUCAUUUAAAAUAACAUUUUCCGAACAGACUGUAUCAAAAUUAAAAUUAAAAACCGGAAAAGAAAUGAAAUGAAAAGAAAGCAUGUAAUGUUAUGGCUUAUAAAUGUUUUCUUGUAUACAUGUAACCAUUGAUCAUUCGGUGAAAUGCAACAUUCAGACAUAUGCGAGAUUUGACUUUGAUAUAACUUUUAAAUUACGCACCAACACAAAUCAAAAAGAUGGGGGAGUAAAUGCAAAUAUUACACAAUCUGAAAAAGAGAACAAAAUGCCAACAACAUACAAUAAUUAUAAUAAAUUGGGGAUUUGUCAAAGAGACAACAAGUUACUCUGACUAAAGAACAGAAAACAGCCGAAGGUCAUUAAUGGGUCUUCAAUAUAGCGAAUUAAGAUGCCUACUUCAUCAGGCCCCUAAACAAAAGUAUGUACUAUUUCAGUGACUUCAUACUAAACUCCGAAAUAUAAUACUAAAGAAACUAAAUUCAAAAAUCAUACCAGACUAAUAAAAGCCAAAGGCUCCUGCAACAAUUAAAGACGGGAGUAUGUACAUAAUGUCAAGACAUACCAUUCUCCGAAUGAAAAGGUAAUCAGAUGAUAUUUCCCCUUUCAACCAUACUGUCGAUUUGUUGUACCUUUAGACAGGUACAAAGCAUAACGCAGGACUUUACAAUUUUUAUUGAAAAAAAUCUUUUAAAAAUCAUUUAAUAAAAAAAAAAAAGAUAUUUCGAUAGAAAAUCAAUUAAGACUGUCAUGGAAUAUUGUAAAUUUUCGAUUUGACCUGGGACCAAUAUAUUAAUGUAUAAGUGCCAGACACAUGUAAGGAAAUGAAAAAAAUAAACAUAUUAAUUUCCGUCUGUAUAUGAUUUUUCUAAUCUGGAACAAAAUUUGUAUAAUUCUUUUGUCAUUUGCACUAAAAAACUAAUAUGAAUACGAAAGUUUAUUUUGAUUCGGUUCACAUAUACAAUACACUCAUAAGCUAUUGAGAGUUUUUAAUAUGGAACGCCAUGACUGUCUUCUGAUGUUGAUUGUCAAAUUUGUUACAAACUAUAAAAUAACAUAUGGACAAGAUAUAAAUAAUUAAGCAGCAUUUUGUUUUGCAUAGAAACAGCACUGGCAUAUUCAAAUACAUGCAAAGCAUUUCUUAAAUACAUAUCUAAACAUGCAAAAUUAAUACUAGUAUGUCUGUACUCGACCUCGAAGAGGACACUCAUCAUAAUACAUAUAUGCACAAUUACAACUGAAAUAAGAAGAUGUACGUGGUAUUAGUGCUAAUGAGAGACAACUCUCCACCCAUGUCACAGAGUGUAAAAAGUAAACAAUUAUAGGUCAAAUUACCGCCCUUUAACACGAAGCCUUUGCUCACGCCGAACAGCAAGCUAUAAAGGGACACAAAACGACUAAUGAAAAAACAAAUCAAACUGGAAAAUCAAUGGUUUUAUCUACUUUAAAAAAGAGAAACAAUAAACCACUUUUGAACCACAUUCUGUGUCAUUUGGUCUCUUGUGAAGAGUUGUCUCAUUGACAAUCACAACACAUCAUCAUUUAUAUAUAUAUCACCUGAGCACGCACAAGCUGAUCUCAAAAACCUUACCAUCACAAUCAUAGACCACAACGAGGGUUGGUCGAAGGUCGACAGAGUAGCUCGGGAAAGAUUUUGGAUAAGACAGUUAAGGACAGUUUCCCCAAAGGGCAUAAAUGAAAAAAAAAACAUAGAAUGAGUCACUCAUUUUCCUGUCAUCACUUGUUUCCAGUAACUCUGGCUCCGUACUGGCUUUACAGGUCGAAGAUUUUUUUUUUACAAUACCAGUUUAAAUUACAAGGCUCCAUUUAUUUGGGAUGGAUGUAUAAGUACGUAGCCACGUUCAAUUAUUUUACCUUAUUAGAUAAAACUAAUUUUUCUAAUCAUUAUUAAACUGCUAUUCGUUUGGGAGGCUUAAAUAUGUAGUUUCUGUUGCAAUUGCCCUACCGUUGUCAAAUCUGAAAUAUUAUACCAACUUGGAUCGGUUAGGGCAUUUUUGAUUGUUUUGUUUGAGGACUGCCCUCCAUGCAGUUAUAAACUGUCAAAACCUUUGGAAAUUUAGAGUUGUGCCAGUUCACAUCGCAAAUAACUAUUUUUAUUUGGCAUAUCUUUGUAAUCUUUGCGCCUUGUUUGGAAAUUUUAAAAUUGUACUAGCGUCUGUGGUGUUCGCCUAAAUUGUAUACAUUUCAAGAUUUUGAUAGUUUCCAGUUUGAAUAUAUUGACUUGAUUCAUAUGACAUCGUUCUAUUAUUGAAGAAGGAUAUCUGUUAUCCGAAAUAUCUAAUAUUUGUUCAUUUUAUAGUUAUUUAAUGGUGAUGUUGUACCCUUUUUGACUUGUUAUAUAUAUAUAUAAUUUAUGUAUAUAUAGAUAUAUAUAUAAUCUUUUCCAAAGUUGACGCAGAGAAAGUCUAGGAAAAAUAGAUAAGAAAGAAUGUAAUCACAGCCUGAACAUCGAGUUUUUGCUUGGUGUUAUUUUAGACUUUAAUAAUUAUUGAUACGAUAAGUACAAAAUCAGACGUUGUAUUAUGGUGAAACAAUCAAAUUCAAAUUUAUUUCUAUUUCUUAGCUUUCUUAUAUGUCAAUUGUAUAUUUGGAUGCAUCGUUUUCCAAUUUGUAAUUAUGUUUAAAAUUUAAUUGUUAUCCAACUGCACAGUAAAGUUAAAAAUUCAAAUAUCUUUCUUCAUUUUAAAACAGAUUAUAAUUUAUGGACAGACUAAAUUUGUUUUCUGUCUUUGUGAGAACAGAAUACAUUCUAUAAAAACUACCUAUUAGAAAACAUAAAAAAAAAUCAUAGUUUCCGUAUUUUGUUACACACAUUCACUGUGAUAAAUUCAUAAAAUCCCGCUAAAAAAGUAAACAAAUGUAGGCGUACCGGAACUAAAAAUCUUGAAGUAAACAAUGUUUUUUUUUAUGAAAGCAAUUUUAUGAAGUAAGUAUUUUAAUACAUUACUAUUUAGAGAGUAUAUUAGUUAUACAGUCAUGCACUUAAAAAACAGACAUGCAUAAUUUCUAUCAAUGUUGUGGUUAUUAUAUUAAAUCAAAAUAGGUUAGAAUUAAAUAUGUUAAAGGUCAACGUGCUUCAUUAUUGACUGAAUAAACAUAGAUAAUUUCUAUAAAUAAUUAUACACUGUUAAAUAUUCCACAAUUUCAAUGUACUUUCUGUAUUUUGGUAAACUAUACUUGAUUAUUUGUCCAGUCGCUCUUUUAUAACCAGCCUUUGUAUGCCGAUGACGUCACAGGAGGGGGCAUUUAGUGUUAUACCCUUGCCCUUUCCGUCUGUCUGUCUGUACGUCCGUCCGCACGCACGCACUAACGUCCGUACAUUCUUAUAUUGGUUUCUAUUCUGUAACUUUAGUUUGCCUCAACCAAAUGUAAUGCCACUUAUACAAAAUGCUAAUUACCACAUCAUACAGACCUAGUUAGAAUUUGGGUGUCGUUACUUUUGCCGUUUUAUGACCAUUUAUAAAGUUAUAUAUAAUUAUGCAAGCGGGGGCAUCAUCUCCAUUUAUGUAUAACCAGUUUAGUACUGCAAUCCCAUUCUUGAUUUAGAAAAAAAAUAUAUUCAAAGAAUAUUUAAAGUAGAGCGUGAUUGUUCUUCAAUAGUAACAACUGCGUCACCGGGGAUCGACGCAGGGACCACUACGACGUUACAAUGUAAUCUACUACUCUACCAACCCAAACCUUAGGAGAGGUGUUGCUGAUGGAGGUUGGACACAUAUCUAUUAGUUCAACUGAAGCACCUCAGUACAACACCAACUUACUAGUAUUCUGAUUUCAUUUGAAUGUAUAAAUGGUAAUUUUCGACAUUAAGCACUCACUAAACUCAGUUUUUCGUUUGAAGUACCAAUAGUAGAUAAGUAGUUUUCUUCCAAACUUGAUCACUUAACACCUUAAAUAGAAGAUGGAACCCCUAACAUGGCAUUGUAGUUAACCAAAUGUCUUUCACUGAACUAUAAUUCACAGGCGGAGCUUAUGGAGUAAAAUGACUCAUACACCGAUCUUGUUGUUUUUUCUACAAGCACAACCACUUUCUAUCAUGCGAUUUUGCAUACUUAGUUUGACAACGUUUUAUACGGAAUAGUCACAGACAUUGAGUCAUGAAUUCAUUUGAUAUCGAUCUUGGUUUACAUAAAGUAAGAAGAGUAAAGGUACUGCUUAUAUAAAACUUUUAGGAUUGAGCUAGUAAUGAUAAAAACAAGGAUGAAACAAUAUAGAAAUAUUGUAUUGCAAAAUAUCUGUCACUUAAAAAGUUAUCCGUAAAUGAUUCCCAUAUUAUCGCUUGUCGAAAAGUUAUUUUGCAAUGCAAAAAUUAACAAGAAAAACCGUUGCAGAACUGAUUCAAAUAGUGACUUCAAAUUAAGAUGUUCAUCGUUUUAAGUAGACUCUACUUGUCUCUGGUGUGGAGUGUGUAAUGUGUUUUCUAAAUGUCGGCAAUUUUCUUAAAAAAGAGAUAUAAAAUUGAGAAUGGAAAUGGAGAAUAUGUCAAAGAGACAACAACCCGACCAAAGAACUGUUACAGACAACAGCCGAAGGCCACCAAUGGGUCUUCAACGCAGCAAGAAAAUACCGCACCUGAAGGUGGGCCUCAGCUGGCUCCUAAAUAAAAUUGUGUACUAGUUCAGUGAAAUGCACGUCAACUUGACUAAACUCCAAAACAUAUAAAUGAACUAAAAUUAAAAAAAACAUACAAGACUAACAAAAGCCAGAGGCUCCUGACUUGGGACAGACGCAAAAAUGCGGAGGGGUUAAACAUGUUAAAACAAAAACAUUUGUUUACACAUGGUUGAGGACUGGCAAUCAAAAAGAAUCCCUAUCUUUUAUUAUACCAAGGAUUUUCUCUAUAAUAAACAGCUUUUAAAUAUAAUUCCAGACAUGAUGAAUGUGCGCAGAAUUCUUCAGCCAAGUUCAAAGUUUAUAAAGGGCUUUACAGUACAGUGCUAUUCAUGUCGUACUUCCACAACCAUUGCAGAUGCCAGAAAUGAACCACCGCUAUCUGCGGAUGUUAAACCAUUCAAUCAAGUCCCUGGGCCUCGAGGACUUUAUAACAUACCUUACCUUGGCGCGGCAUUUCAUUUUAAACCUUUUAGUAA